This 497-nucleotide ribosomal RNA is filed under the name uncultured bacterium. Its description in RNAcentral is "partial 16S ribosomal RNA". It matches the Rfam family "Bacterial small subunit ribosomal RNA", at positions 28 to 507 of the family's 1533-position model. The record is from RNAcentral.
GAUGAACGCUGGCGGCGUGCCUAAUACAUGCAAGUCGAGCGAACAGACGAGGAGCUUGCUCCUCUGACGUUAGCGGCGGACGGGUGAGUAACACGUGGAUAACCUACCUAUAAGACUGGGAUAACUUCGGGAAACCGGAGCUAAUACCGGAUAAUAUAUUGAACCGCAUGGUUCAAUAGUGAAAGACGGUUUUGCUGUCACUUAUAGAUGGAUCCGCGCCGCAUUAGCUAGUUGGUAAGGUAACGGCUUACCAAGGCAACGAUGCGUAGCCGACCUGAGAGGGUGAUCGGCCACACUGGAACUGAGACACGGUCCAGACUCCAACGGGAGGCAGCAGUAGGGAAUCUUCCGCAAUGGGCGAAAGCCUGACGGAGCAGCGCCGCGUGAGUGAUGAAGGUCUUCGGAUCGUAAAACUCUGUUAUUAGGGAAGAACAAAUGUGUAAGUAACUAUGCACGUCUUGACGGUACCUAAUCAGAAAGCCACGGCUAACUACGUG